RNAcentral lists this ribosomal RNA (586 nucleotides) under uncultured Glomeromycotina. Its description in RNAcentral is "LSU rRNA". It matches the Rfam family "Eukaryotic large subunit ribosomal RNA", at positions 204 to 637 of the family's 3401-position model. Lineage: Eukaryota; Fungi; Glomeromycota. The record is from RNAcentral.
CAUGGAGGGUGAGAAUCCCGUUCGGUUGACCUUAUGACGCUUUACGAUACGCUCUCAAAGAGUCGAGUUGUUUGGGAUUGCAGCUCAAAAUGGGAGGUAAAUUUCUCCUAAGGCUAAAUAUCGGCGAGAGACCGAUAGCGAACAAGUACCGUGAGGGAAAGAUGAAAAGAACUUUGAAAAGAGAGUAAAAUAGUACGUGAAAUUGUUGAAAGGGAAACGAUUGAAGUCAGUCGUACCGACGGAAAAUCAGCUCUUCGAGUGCGAACUUGUGGGCGUACGUGAGCUUUAACCGGCCUCGUUGUUUGCGAUGUUUGUGCUCUUUGGGUGUACUUUUUCGUAUGGUUGGCCAACGUCAGUCUCGGUUAUCAUAAAAUGAUUGGAGGAAUGUAGCUUCGAUCUUGUAUUGAAGUGUUAUAGCCUCUGGUAGAUGUGGUAAACGAAACUGAGGAUUGCAACGAAUACCCUUCGGGCUAUCCGUCUGACCUCUGAAAGUUGCUUGGGUGCCGAAAGCUUGCUUACGGUCAUCCAUGACGACGGUCAAAAGGUUAGAACGUGAUUAUAUUCGUUAAGGAUGUUGACGUAAUGG